CUACACUGAUGGUGCGUUCCAUGUUGUCUGGGAAGUGGCAAUUUCCGGGUUCACAGUGGAAACUUUUAAAUGAAACGCUCCCUUACGUCGGAUUUCCGACUUGGGAAGUCGGGAGAACCGCACUGCCCCGACUUCGUGAUCCAAGAAGGCUGUCGGGGUAUCAACAGUUAGUUCGUACUGUUUAUCAGCACUUCUGUGUUCUUGUGACUCAUAGAAAUGUUCGUACACAAAGUGCUGUCCAGCUGUCUGUGUUGCUACCGUGUUUAGUGUGAGUAAAUACCGCACAAUGCGUUGUUUUUAUCAACCGGCGUGACAGCAGCUAACCUGGCUGCUUGUAAACAACAACAGCUGCGUCAGGGACGUUUUCCGACUUCUUACUGCGAUGUGACGUGAUUCUCAGCUCCGACCUCCGUGCGGCUCUGAGAACAGAAAGGAAGCAGAAAGAGUUCAGUUAGAGUCCCAGAACUGAAGGCUGAGGCAGGCUGACUUCCUGUAAAUGCAGAGGGGAGGAGCAGCACUGAGAACAGGGAGGAAGCUGAAGCAGAAAGAGUUCAGUUAGAGUCCCAGAACUGAAGGCUGAGGCAGGACUGACUGAAGUCCAGAAGAUGAGUGUUUGUGUGGAGGAAGAGGAGGACGGAGCAGAGUCUGCAGGAUCCAGCUGUCUGUCUAUGAAGAGUGACUGGUCCAAAGGAAAACCUCCAGAGUUCAGUCCUGAACCUGGACCCUCAGACACAAAAGAGAGGAAGAGGAGUCCUGUUCCUGUGGAGGAGCAGCCGUCCAGCUGUGGACACUGGU
Micropterus salmoides (largemouth bass) is the source of this 795-nucleotide long non-coding RNA. RefSeq lists it as uncharacterized. The record is from RefSeq and is a predicted model, not a curated record. Lineage: Eukaryota; Metazoa; Chordata; Actinopteri; Centrarchiformes; Centrarchidae. The transcript has 4 exons.